RNAcentral lists this ribosomal RNA (430 nucleotides) under uncultured eukaryote. RNAcentral describes it as "bacterial SSU rRNA". It matches the Rfam family "Eukaryotic small subunit ribosomal RNA", at positions 119 to 549 of the family's 1831-position model. The record is from RNAcentral.
AUUUGAUGGUACCUUUCUACUCGGAUAACCGUUGUAACUCAAGAGCUAAUACGUGCGUUGAAGCCCCGUCCUCACGGUAGGGGUGCAUUUAUUAGAUUCAAACCAUCGGCCUCACGGCCCUUGAUGGUGAGUCAUGAUAACUGAGCGAAUCGAAUGGCCUUGUGCUGUCGAUGCUUCAUUCAAAUUUCUGCCCUAUCAGCUUUCGAUGGUAGGAUCUUGGCCUACCAUGGCUAUAACGGGUAACGGGGAAUUAGGGUUCGAUUCCGGGGAGGGAGCUUGAGAAACGGCUACCACAUCCAAGGAUGGCAGCAGGCGCGCAAAUUACCCAAUCCCGACACGGGGAGGUAGUGACAUGAAAUAACAAUAGCGGAUGUUUACACAUCCGCUAAUUGGAAUGAGAGUAAUUUAAACCACUACUCGAGGAGCCAUU